Amphimedon queenslandica is the source of this 533-nucleotide long non-coding RNA. RefSeq lists it as uncharacterized. The record is from RefSeq and is a predicted model, not a curated record. Lineage: Eukaryota; Metazoa; Porifera; Demospongiae; Haplosclerida; Niphatidae. The transcript has 3 exons.
CCCCGCCUUCGAUUUCGAUUUUUUUGUGCUGAUCAGACUUCAAUCACAAAUGAAAUUACUAAAGUGGAGACUACAUUAAAUGGAUCUUGUCCACUGUUAAAGCAUAACAUCUUUUUAAAAAGGCCUUCUAUUUCUUCUCACACUGAUUUGCCUGUAACAGUAAGUGCAAGUACAGCAGUCACUGUAGCACCCCAACAACAACUAGAUCAAACAAAACUCAAUGAUGUUCUGGAAGUUCUAAAAUCAUUUGAUACUACAAAUUGGUACAAGCUAGGACUUAAUUUGGGACUUCAUUCAGUGACACUGAAUACUUUUACGAAAGAAGAUCAACUGACAAAGACAAUUGAGGUUUGGUUAAAGCUUGCAGAUGGUGUUAAGGAUAAAGGAGGAGCUACUUGGGAAAAUUUGAUAAAAGCUGUUGCAGCUACUAAUGAUAAUGCUACAGCUGACACAAUUCGCAAGACAUUUUGUAACUAAAAAUAGUUUAAAGUUAUAAUAUUCUUUUAAUAACAAUGAUUGGCAUUUAUCUUUGU